Long non-coding RNA from Equus asinus (donkey), 1615 nucleotides. The record is from Ensembl. NCBI's taxonomy places the organism in Eukaryota, Metazoa, Chordata, Mammalia, Perissodactyla, Equidae.
GGAGUGGUAAGCAGUGGUCUCAUUGUGAAGUGGGGCUGAGGAGAUUGCUGAUGGACUAGAUGUGGGAGGUGAGAAAGAGAGUUGAGGGCCGUACUGAGGUUUCUGGCCUGAGCACCGAGCAUGAAAUUGGCCGUGAACUGAGACGCCCAAGGAGCCGUAUAGGUCAUGUUAAGUUGCUAUGAUGCAGUGGCGAAGGAGGGAGUGGAUGUUUUGGGGAAGAUCCUUCUCUAUGGAAAUGUAAAUCUUCUUGGGAACUUCUCAUUGUCCUUUGCUUUAUUUCUCUCCUCUGACCUCAGGUCUAGGUGGCCCCUAAGGCCCUCUGUGAAUAUUUACCCCAUGAAGGAGAGGUCCAUCGAUUCAUUCAUUCAUUAACCAUUUCUUGCACUACUUCAUUUUGCGCGUUAUGCGAGCCUAGAAUCUAAAGAGAGAAAUCUGGAUUUGUCAGAAAUGCCCCUUGACAAGUCCCUAAGUCCCAGAAAGUGUGGCAGACAUGAUUUGCAUAUACCGAAUGCCUAGGUAUUCGGGUGUAAUGAGUGAGGGAACGCACAGCUUAUAAUUUCAGGGAGGAUCUCGUUCAGGACUUAAGACAAGCGUUCGCACUGCCCGGAACGUCUCAGCAACUGUAGAUCGCAGCUCGAAGCCUCUUCCUCCUCUUCCUGUUAGCCACUGUCUUGACUCAAAUUCUUCCUUAUUCAUUGUUUCUCUGCAGCCUCGAUGAGUCCUUCAGCAGGUGAUCCUUCAGGCCUCCUUGUGUCAGCUGCCCUGGGGCAUCUCAGACGAUUAGCCCUGAGCUAACAUCUGCCGCCAAUCCUCCUCUUUUUGCUGAGGACGACUGGCCCUGAGCUAACAUCCAUGCCCAUCUUCCUCUACUUUCUAUGCGGGACGCCUACCACAGCAUGGUGUGCCUAAGCGGUGCCAUGUCCGCACCUGGGAUCCAAACCUGCGAACCCCGGGCCGCCGAAGUGGAACGUGCGAACUUAACUGCUGCGCCACAGGGCCAGCCCCCUGCGUUUCUAACAAGUUCUCAGGUGAUGAGUAUGCUGCUGGGGGAGGAACCACCAGCACCUGGUUUGUAAAUCAUUUUAUUGGAACACAGCCAUGUCAGAGACUGAAUGACCUGCAAGCCUGAAAUCUUUGCUCUCUGGCCCUUUAUAGAGAAAGUGUGCUUCCCCAUAAUAUAUAUGUGAUCAGUGCUGAGCAUUUUCUAUUGAGUUCAUAUUUUAUUCUCAAGAGCUCUUUUAUAUGUUAAGACAUUGCUUAACAAAUUAGCCCACAAAAGUAUGGUAUGGGGGAAUAGAUGCCUAUUUUGAAGUGUUAGGGAGUAUAACUAACAUGACACUUCUUUUAAGUCUUUUGUUUUUUCUAAAAGUAAUCUGAAUUUUUUAUUCCAGAAGCAUCAGUGUUUGGUUUAAUAUGAAACAUUUUUCCUCCUUAAUCUUUGAAUAAAGCUGAUGCUACUAAAUAUGUUGUAUUUAAUCCUGCUUUCACUGUGUUUGAGAAAUACGCUACUGAGAUUUGCAAUUUUUGGUCAUAAGUUUCAAAUAUUUGUUCUAUGCUUUGAAUUCAAAUCGUCAAUCUUUUUCUUUCCCCUGUCUUCUCUACCCCAAGAUUUUAU